Molecule: unclassified non-coding RNA, 253 nt
Filed under: uncultured Pirellulaceae bacterium
Lineage: Bacteria; Pseudomonadati; Planctomycetota; Planctomycetia; Pirellulales; Pirellulaceae
Description: contains 16S-23S intergenic spacer region
Rfam family: Bacterial small subunit ribosomal RNA
Source: RNAcentral
GACGAACCGGACAAACGUUAUUCGGAUUUACUGGGCUUAAAGGGUGCGUAGGCGGCACGGAAAGUAGGGUGUGAAAUCCCUCGGCUCAACCGAGGAACUGCGCUCUAAACUACCGUGCUUGAGGAAGACAGAGGUGAGCGGAACUGAAGGUGGAGCGGUGAAAUGCGUUGAUAUCUUCAGGAACACCGGUGGCGAAGGCGGCUCACUGGGUCUUUUCUGACGCUGAGGCACGAAAGCUAGGGUAGCGAACGGG